UACGGAGGAUGCGAGCGUUAUCCGGAUUUAUUGGGUUUAAAGGGUGCGUAGGCGGGUUAUCAAGUCAGCGGUAAAAUCGUGGAGCUCAACUCCAUCCAGCCGUUGAAACUGAUGAUCUUGAGUGGGCGAGAAGUAUGCAGAAUGCGUGGUGUAGCGGUGAAAUGCAUAGAUAUCACGCAGAACUCCGAUUGCGAAGGCAGCAUACCGGCGCCCGACUGACGCUGAAGCACGAAAGCGUGGGUAUCGAACAGG
Molecule: ribosomal RNA, 252 nt
Filed under: uncultured bacterium
Lineage: Bacteria
Description: partial 16S ribosomal RNA
Rfam family: Bacterial small subunit ribosomal RNA
Source: RNAcentral